RNAcentral lists this ribosomal RNA (506 nucleotides) under uncultured bacterium. Its description in RNAcentral is "partial 16S ribosomal RNA". It matches the Rfam family "Bacterial small subunit ribosomal RNA", at positions 29 to 523 of the family's 1533-position model. The record is from RNAcentral.
AGUGAACGCUGGCGGUAGGCCUAACACAUGCAAGUCGAACGGCAGCACAGAGGAGCUUGCUCCUCGGGUGGCGAGUGGCGGACGGGUGAGGAAUACAUCGGAAUCUACUCUGUCGUGGGGGAUAACGGAGGGAAACUUACGCUAAUACCGCAUACGACCUACGGGUGAAAGCAGGUGAUCUUCGGACCUUGCGCGAUUGAAUGAGCCGAUGUCGGAUUAGGUAGUUGGCGGGGUAAAGGCCCACCAAGGCGACGAGCCGUAGCUGGUCUGAGAGGAUGAUCAGCCACACUGGAACUGAGACACGGUCCAGACUCCUACGGGAGGCAGCAGUGGGGAAUAUUGGACAAUGGGCGCAAGCCUGAUCCAGCCAUACCGCGUGGGUGAAGAAGGCCUUCGGGUUGUAAAGCCCUUUUGUUGGGAAAGAAAUCCAUCUGGUUAAUACCCGGGUGGGAUGACGGUACCCAAAGAAUAAGCACCGGCUAACUUCGUGCCAGCAGCCGCCGCCG